AAUCUUCUUAAGCCCAAUAUUCUUCUUGGGAUUGGUGGUAAAAAGGGACCUCAAUUCCCCUAUAUAUACACACCCUCUUCAUCUCCUGAACCUACACCACUUCUCUCUACCCCUUUGGCCUCUCUCUCUCUCACAAAACCUUUCAAUCUACCACUUCUUUCCUUUUAUUUUCACAGUCUUGGCAUUUCUUUUUAGGGUUUUGUUUUGAUUGGCUUGAAGCUUCUAAAGCAUCUCUCUCUCUCUCUCUCUCUCUAUCUUAUCUACUAGUCUGUUGCCCUAUGAGAUGGUCCUCUUUGUAUUCUUCCACAGCUUUCUUGAACUGCAGCUACGAGCUAGGCUCAGACUUUGCAUGCGUUAAGAGACUUAUUAUUUUUUCUCUUAUUUUGUUUUUCUUGGUUGCGGUUCAAUAAAGCUGUGGGAAGAUACAGACAGGGUCAAGAAAAGUUCAAGAUCGGUUCUGUUGGUAUUGAUAUAAUCUCCAUCUACCCUUUUCCAUUGCAUUCCCUGAUCUGUUAAUUCCUUUGGAUCCACUGUUCCUCGUCACACAGUACUCAGAAAGCAGGAAGUUUUAUAUAAGUGUAAAUCUCUGAACUGUUAUACUUCAAAUGUCUUUGUAUGAAAAUACAAAAUUCACAUGACAUUCCAAUAAAAAAGAAGAUAUUCAAUCUGAAAUACACACAGAUGUGAUAUUUUCAUUUCCCUGAUUCAGUUUUCAUAGUUUUUUUUCCACCUUGUAUUCUUUCUAUAUGCAAAAUUUUAAUAUACAAGUUAUAAAAAUUUCAACUUUAUAUAUUAACAGAGAAUAUAAUUUCAGAUAUAAUAGAAUUGAGAAAAAUAAUACAUGGAAAAAACCCUAACUAAUGUGUUAAAGAUCCAUGGCUGAGCCCAAAAUUUGGGAUCAAGAUUCAUUGUUGCUGUUGUAUAUCAGAACUCAACUCAUUUACUUGGGUGUAACGAUUUUGUUGGAGCUUUAAUUAUAAGGCUCAAUUUGUAUGUUUCUGUUCCUACAGACUGAGCGUAUAAUUGUCAAAUCUUUUUUCUUCUUUGUGUCCCUACUACUCUGGAAAUGUCUUGGAUAAGUAGUUUCUUUUUUAUUUGUACUUUACAGACAUUACGAUUCCCUGAGUAUUGUAUUUUCCUCUUGUCUAUAUCCUUUUCUUUCUGUCCUUCUGUUUCUAUUGUUUAUUAUGAUCAAUGGUGGGGUUUCUUUUAUAAUUGUUUUGUCUGGCUUUAUAGUGUGCCCAUGUGUAGGUUCAAUUGCAGGCCAAGCAUAAAUACUACUUGCAGAUCAAUCGAACAGCGAUCACCUUUUUUUAAAAAAAAAUACCAUGCUAUAUAGACCAGUUGAUCGGUACAUAUUUGGUCAACAAGGUAAAAGUCAUUAUGUUUAUACAAAGUGCAGCCAGAAUUAUUAGCCUUUUUUAAUAGAUUCCUACCUACAGAUUCAUUUAUGGCUAUCAUGUCAUUUGCGAGUUACUAUUAUUUAUUGUAGUUCUGUUAUUUAGCAUCCGAUUUUUUUUUUUUUGGAUCGAAUCACUGUUCUUUGUACACUUAAUAAGUCGUACAAUUAUUUUUCCGUUGGUUUGUCAAGUUUAAUGUAGUUAAACUUGAUUAGGGUUCUUUUUUAAACUUCUUUUUUAACACUAGAAAGAGCAAUAUGAGAUUUUGUUCGAGUAAUAGUUAGAAGGAAUAAAUAGUAAAUGUUAGAAUGGACCACACAAAGUUUUACACAAUUGUGUUUUAAGCAAACCUUUAAAGCCAAUAAAAUGAAAAUUAAGUGGUUAGGUGAAGCUUUUAUGAACAAAGAAUACAGGUAAGAUGUUGUACAGUUGUGUUGAAUUGCCUUUGAGAGAAGAAACCUAGACAAGAGUAGAAUGAAGAAGCGACUUGUAAAUGGAAAUUAGGGUUUUCUUUUCCUAACUGAGGUAAAGACAAGUGGAAGGGAAAGUUCCUCUUGUUCACUGCAAGAAACAUCUUGUCUUGCUGCUUAAGGCUGAGAUGUUUUUGGAUCAGAUCCUGGUUUUUUUCAUGUAUCUAUAGGAGUGAAUCUCGCAUGGUCCAAACUAAGUGCCAAACCAAGAUUCAUGAAACCCAAAAAAUGAGCAACCGUGCCUGCUUGAUUUUCAUAUUCAUUUAGAAAUCUGACCAAAAAAAAAAAAUCUUCAGUGUACAUGAGCACAAUAACUGGCUUCUUUAGUGAAGUUAGCUGGAGUCACAGAUGAUGCACUCACGAGAACUUGAAUCCAUCCAAUAAAUAGGCCACCUCUUUUUUUUAAAAAAAAAAUGGCACGGGUCAUAUCGCAUAUGACCCAACUACUUUAUUUAUAUGAUGGUUCAUGUCUAAUUGUCGCCCACUAAUCAAAUGCAUAUUCUAAUCACUUGCUGUUAGAUAAUUUUAAGUUUAAAAUAUUACUAUAUUAUGAAUAUUCAAUUAAGUGUAAGAGUAGAGUGCUCCUUUUUCCCCUUUGGAUUUAUCAUGCUUAUAGUUUAUAUGCCCUUGAAUUAUUGCUAGUAAUGCUUUAGAAAAGGACCAUUUAAAGUAAAACCAAUGGUUGGAUUAGUUUCUCAACUAACGAGGAUUCAUUACUAAGUCAAAAAAGGUGAGAUUUAUUUUUUCGUGGAAUCAAAAAAGAGUUGGUUCUUUCUUUAACUUUUCCCUUUGGUGGAAAAGGAUGGCGUUGGAAAGCUAGCUAAGAUUUCCUUGUGCUUUGUGAAAAUGGAAAAGAGAGGUGGGUAAACAGUGUAAGUCAAGCCCCAAAAAAAAGGAUAUUAAAGGAAAUCAAGCACAAUUUUCUUGAUAUGGUUGUCUUAUUUCUGCUGUUGUUUUGUCUUGUUGAAUGGAUAGUGAAGUUGAUUCCAUUUAUAUCUAGGACUUGUAAUUUGUCUCUUUAUUUUGAUUGGUUUACUGUUAUUCUAAACUGAUCUCAUAUCUAUGUGAGGAAUGCAAAUUGAUCAUUGAAUAUAAAGCAACUGAUCGUAUGUGAAUAUGCAUUCACAGUACAUGCAUGGUGCAUGCAAGCAUGCCAAGAGUAUAUGUAUGCCAACCAUCCCUGUAUUUUACAAGUACAGCUCCUUUGAAGUCCAUAAGGGUUACAUGUUAUGUUUGAAGUAUGAAUACAUCUCCUUGAUCUAUUUUAAGUAAAAAUUACGACUACAUGGCUAGCUGUACAGUAGAACUAUCAUUCUUAGUCCUCUCUGUUAGUAUCUUGGUCAACAAAGUUUCCAUUUAUAGUUGUUGGACACUUCCAUAUCAGAUAAGAUAUGUUAAAAGUUUUUGCUGUUUCAAAAAAUGAUGUCCCAUUGCUCAAAUGGCCGAACAAGAUAUGAUACCAACAGUGAUGUGACUGUUGGAUUCCCAGCUAAUACUCUGUGGCAGAAUUUUUGUUUCUCUAUGCCGUUUCUCUUUCAGGUUCCCGUAGUUUCUCAAGUAAAAGUUUAAUUUGAUUUCUUCUUAAGCUUUUUACCAUCCCAAGUCAUUUUCAAGAUAUUGGCAUCAUUACGUACGUUGUUUAGAUUGACUUUUAUAUAAAUAAAGAUCAUCCCUUGGAGCACAACAUUCCAAAUUGGCUUUAAAGGGUGACCUCUUAUAAGUCUCUUCAUUUGAGAGGUGUACAUUAAUUCAGUCCACCGUGAAUCACGGGAAGGCGUCCUUAUGGAUUGGUAGUGAAGCAAUUUUAAGUUAAGAUUGUUCUUCUAAAUGUGUUAGAAUGUGUGGUUUUUUUAAUGUCAAUUGUUAAUGUACCUAAAAAGUCUCUCCUUAGGGGUGUACGUGUGUGUGAUUAAGUACUUACAUAAAUAUAUGUACAUAAAGCUGAAGACAAAGAGAGGUUUAUACUAUGGGAAGGUAUUGGAGAGAGUUAUCAUGCAUUUGCUAUUCUUCUUUGAUAUCUUAACUUGGAUUGUUGCAAUAUACUUAAAUUGUUUAGGUAGCAAUGAUGAUCUUUACUUCAUUUAUGGCAAAGCAUUCACAUGCAUUAGUAGUUUCUCUUUGUAAUUAAGCAUAUGUUCCUAAGAUCUCAAAAGACUAUAAUUAUGCUCAACUACUGAAGCUGAAUUGACAUAUAAUUCUGAAAUUGCACCAAAAAGUAAGUGUAGGAUAGAAAGAUAGCUGGAAUUGGGAAUCUUAACUUCAUUCCUAACAAUUAUUUGUGUAUGAAAUGAAUGGUAGAGAUGAAAAUUGGGGAUAUAGGGGCCUGCUUGAAUAUUUAUAUCUUUUGUAAUGACAAGAACAACACAAUUUCAUGUUAUAUAGAAAAGCAAAUGCAACUCACUUUAGUGGUAGAGCAUGCUUUUGAGUAAGGGAUGUUAUGUUGUUGUCAAUACAGUGAUUGAAUUUAUAUUGGGCCAUCAACCUACGACAAAUCAGGCUUGCGACAAGCUAUGAACAAAAUAUCAUGCUGAAGUUGUUGAAGCUGAAUUGAGAUAUAGUUCUGGAAUUGAACAAAAAACAAAGGUAGGAUUAAUAGCCAAAAGGUUAGGUGGAAUUGAGAAUCUUGGCUUCAUUGUUGAGUAUUAUAACAAUUAUUUGUGUAUGAAAUGAACGGAAGAGAUGAAAAUUAGGAAUAUUGGGGACAAUUUGAAUGUUUUCAAAAGAAAAAACAAUUUAGUGAUAUAUUGUAGAAAAUUAAAUGUGACUUCCUUUAGUGGUAACACAUUUUUGAGUAAGAGAUGUUCUGUUUUUUUUUUUCCCUCAAAUAAUAAUAGUAGCGUGACUUAUGCUGGCCA
Molecule: long non-coding RNA, 4725 nt
Organism: Quercus robur (English oak)
Lineage: Eukaryota; Viridiplantae; Streptophyta; Magnoliopsida; Fagales; Fagaceae
Exons: 2
Source: RefSeq, a predicted model, not a curated record